This is a long non-coding RNA of Schistocerca serialis cubense, 489 nucleotides long. RefSeq lists it as uncharacterized. The record is from RefSeq and is a predicted model, not a curated record. The transcript has 3 exons. NCBI's taxonomy places the organism in Eukaryota, Metazoa, Arthropoda, Insecta, Orthoptera, Acrididae.
AUCCCUUGUCAGUAUGGAGUGUCUAUGAUGCAAUUGUAAAAUCAACACAGCCCCAGGGCACUCGUCAGUCAGCUGCUAUUGUGGAAGUACAUGGACAGCCCAGUUAUUAGUAGAAGUGAGGAUCCACUGGCAUGGUGGCGUGAAAAUCAAUAUAUUUUCCCAAAUAUUUCUAAAGUGGUGAGGGAAAAAUUCAAUAUAGUGGCCACUUCUGUGCCAUGCGAAAGAAUAUUUUCUAAAACUGGUAUAAUUAUAAAUGAAAGGCAAACACGGCUGAAGGCGUCCAAAGUUGAAAAACUUAUAUUUCUAAAUAUGAACAGUACUAACUCCUGAAUUUCCUGUUACAGGUAGUGGAUUCGAGAGGCACACCAACACCAGCAGAUGAGUCUCCGUUUUAUACUUGGGAUAUUAUAACAGUAAGUUAUAGCUCCAGAAGUCAGUCACCAGCAGCAGAUGUCACACAGUUAUAAAAUGGAAACCUUUAAGAAUAAG